This 278-nucleotide small RNA is filed under the name Blumeria graminis f. sp. tritici. Its description in RNAcentral is "A. fumigatus sRNA Afu_309". It matches the Rfam family "A. fumigatus sRNA Afu_309". Lineage: Eukaryota; Fungi; Ascomycota; Leotiomycetes; Helotiales; Erysiphaceae. RNAcentral also lists the same sequence under 1 other name. The record is from Rfam by way of RNAcentral.
UUUCUUGGCCCAUCAUCAGACUUGUAUCCAGUGUUCCGCUCAAUUUUCGGAUUGUAGCGUUGAAUUCUGCGAUAAUUCAAUGGCAAUGAGUUGUGUCUAACACUAUUGUGUGCAUGAUGCUACCCUAUUGACAAGUCUCAGAGUAAUCAUACUUCUUGAACCUGAGCUCGCCUCGGCUGAGCUCGGUAAAAGAUACUAUAAGGCGUCAUAUUCCACCUCUUUUCACUGAAGGCCGUCGGCUACUGAAGUUAAAGAAAAACCAUGACAUGCCUACAUAA